RNAcentral lists this ribosomal RNA (339 nucleotides) under Triticum aestivum (bread wheat). RNAcentral describes it as "partial small subunit ribosomal RNA". The record is from RNAcentral. Lineage: Eukaryota; Viridiplantae; Streptophyta; Magnoliopsida; Poales; Poaceae.
AUGAGUCUGUUAUGCUGGAACUGCUGUAAGGCUGGCAAACCCGCGACAGUUUGAGAGCUUCGAGACAUUUCGAAACAAUUUGCCCCCUCUAUUCUUUGUAUUCUCAAAACUCAAAUUAAGGGUACCCGUGUGGAAAACUUAGUAGGCACUCUAGAUUACAAUAAGAGUUAUGUUGUAAGUAGUUCUGGUCGUAGUGGAGGUCUUGGAAUUUAUUGGAAAGAUGAAAUAAAACUUGAGGUUGUGGGUUACUCAGAGUACCAUAUUGAUGCAUUGAUUGAUGACCUUAUGGAAACACGAGUGAGAAUUACUUUUGUGUAUGGCGAGGCCCAAGUGCCUUAG